UCGAGCGGCAGCGNGUACUUCGNUCNUGCGGCGAGCGGGCGGGACGGGUGAGUAAUGNCUNNUNUUAUCUGCCUGGUAGUGGGGGAUAACGCUCGGAAACGGACGCUAAUACCGCAUACGUCCUACGGGAGAAAGCGGGGGACCUUCGGGCCUUGCGCUAUCAGAUGAGCCUAGGUCGGAUUAGCUAGUUGGUGAGGUAAUGGCUCACCAAGGCGACGAUCCGUAACUGGUCUGAGAGGAUGAUCAGUCACACUGGAACUGAGACACGGUCCAGACUCCUACGGGAGGCAGCAGUGGGGAAUAUUGGACAAUGGGCGAAAGCCUGAUCCAGCCAUGCCGCGUGUGUGAAGAAGGUCUUCGGAUUGUAAAGCACUUUAAGUUGGGAGGAAGGGCAGUUACCUAAUACGUAUCUGUUUUGACGUUACCGACAGAAUAAGCACCGGCUAACUCUGUGCCAGCAGCCGCGGUAAUACAGAGGGUGCAAGCGUUAAUCGGAAUUACUG
RNAcentral lists this ribosomal RNA (503 nucleotides) under Pseudomonas syringae. RNAcentral's name for it is "bacterial SSU rRNA". It matches the Rfam family "Bacterial small subunit ribosomal RNA", at positions 62 to 556 of the family's 1533-position model. The record is from RNAcentral. Lineage: Bacteria; Pseudomonadati; Pseudomonadota; Gammaproteobacteria; Pseudomonadales; Pseudomonadaceae.